Long non-coding RNA from Motacilla alba alba, 532 nucleotides. RefSeq lists it as uncharacterized. Lineage: Eukaryota; Metazoa; Chordata; Aves; Passeriformes; Motacillidae. The record is from RefSeq and is a predicted model, not a curated record. The transcript is spliced from 4 exons.
UGUCACCAUGGCUUUUGGGUGCAUUGAGCUGAGGCCCGCUGACUCCUGGUUCCUUUGGUUAACAAGGCAGAAGUUCCCCAGAAACCUUUCUUAGUCACAAUAAAAUGCUCCAGGAGAUGGAAUGCUGCAUUGUGAAAACCAGCAAAUAUGAUAACCAUUUGUGAAAGAACUCUGCAGAAGCACACAGUGAAUUAUCACUGACAUGGAACAUAAAUGGAAUUCAGUCAAGUUCCAACUUUAGGCACUGGAUCUGAGGACGCUUCUUAAAUGUUUUCUUCUACCUUAGAAGACACAAAGUUCCUUGUUGCAAUGUUUUCUGUUGGUGACUGGAUACUGCCAGGGGCUGGUGAGGAGCUGUAAAACUACAGUGAACCCAGUGACCAUCUCAAAUCUAGGCCUAGGAGAAAAAUGAGGUAAUGAAGAAGAAAGAGGAAGACAAAGGGAAAAGGAUACUUCUGGAUAUUGCAAAGAUGUCUAAACUUCACUAGCAUGCUCAUCCUAUUUCAUGUUAGGUAUCAUAGGCAACUUAUCU